Molecule: ribosomal RNA, 457 nt
Filed under: uncultured bacterium
Lineage: Bacteria
Description: bacterial SSU rRNA
Rfam family: Bacterial small subunit ribosomal RNA
Source: RNAcentral
ACUCCUACGGGAGGCAGCAGUGGGGAAUAUUGCACAAUGGGCGCAAGCCUGAUGCAGCCAUGCCGCGUGUGUGAAGAAGGCCUUCGGGUUGUAAAGCACUUUCAGUUGUGAGGAAGGUGGUGUCGUUAAUAGCGGCAUCAUUUGACGUUAGCAACAGAAGAAGCACCGGCUAACUCCGUGCCAGCAGCCGCGGUAAUACGGAGGGUGCGAGCGUUAAUCGGAAUUACUGGGCGUAAAGCGCAUGCAGGUGGUUUGUUAAGUCAGAUGUGAAAGCCCGGGGCUCAACCUCGGAACUGCAUUUGAAACUGGCAGACUAGAGUACUGUAGAGGGGGGUAGAAUUUCAGGUGUAGCGGUGAAAUGCGUAGAGAUCUGAAGGAAUACCGGUGGCGAAGGCGGCCCCCUGGACAGAUACUGACACUCAGAUGCGAAAGCGUGGGGAGCAAACAGGAUUAGACA